Cinara cedri is the source of this 913-nucleotide non-coding RNA. The record is from the annotation of a GenBank genome assembly. Lineage: Eukaryota; Metazoa; Arthropoda; Insecta; Hemiptera; Aphididae.
UAACACAUAAAGUCCAGGAAGUUCUUAUCGUCGUAUGAAUAAACGAAGUCGUCUUCACUUAUGCGACUCAUAUUUUUCACACCCGUGCCGUGCGUCCCGAGUAAGAUUCCGUUCAGACAUGAAACGGUUUUGGGAAUUUCGUUCUUUCGUCGGAAAAUGGAAACUCCGCGAUUGUAAAAAUAUCAGGCUGAUUUAUGGGUAUCCUUUCGGUCCAUUCAUCCUUCCGUCGAUUACCAUUUUCCAUAUGCUCCGUGCACCAUUUUUCUACACCGUCUUGUACUACGGAAUUAAAUAUCGUAGGGAAUACUGCAGAUACACCCUGUAUCCUAUAUAACUGGCACCUAUAUCUAAUACUAUAUUCUUAAUUUAUUUUUUGGUUAAGUUUUUAUCCCCGGAAAAAAAAAACAGUUUCUCGCAAAAUCACAUGUGGUGUAUGUAGUCGUUUAUAUAUAUACAUACACAGAAAGAGGCAGAAACGUAAAAAUAACCAUUUCGGUAAAAGAACAUAAAUGCAUGUAUACGAGUAGUGUAUAGCGAGAUUUUGUUCAGCGGGUACAUUUCGCCCGGCGUAAGUCGAAAACCCAUGGUUUCGUGGCGGCAUCAGUCCCCCGAGAGGCAUAUAAUAUGGGUACUAUCGCUUGAAACAAAUUCGAAUUUUAUGCGUUUUUUUUUUUUCUACAAAACGACCCCAUAAUAAUGUUAUUUCGUUCUCCGUUUAUUAUGUUUUUGCGCCGUUCCUUAUGUUAUUAUCAUCAGAGGCCGGCACAGUUGCGUUUUUCACCUCUUGCCUUUCAAGUAAUAACGGGCAACAUUAUACCCCCUCCCCCCAAGAAAAAAAAAACGCUCGUUCACGCAAAAAAAACACAAUAAUGACAAAAAGACCUUCCAAAUCGGUUUCAGAAAUAAAAAAUAA